This 465-nucleotide ribosomal RNA is filed under the name Vreelandella stevensii. Its description in RNAcentral is "partial 16S ribosomal RNA". It matches the Rfam family "Bacterial small subunit ribosomal RNA", at positions 338 to 795 of the family's 1533-position model. The record is from RNAcentral. Lineage: Bacteria; Pseudomonadati; Pseudomonadota; Gammaproteobacteria; Oceanospirillales; Halomonadaceae.
CCUACGGGGGGCUGCAGUGGGGAAUAUUGGACAAUGGGGGCAACCCUGAUCCAGCCAUGCCGCGUGUGUGAAGAAGGCCCUCGGGUUGUAAAGCACUUUCAGUGAGGAAGAACGCCUGGUGGUUAAUACCCAUCAGGAAAGACAUCACUCACAGAAGAACCACCGGCUAACUCCGUGCCAGCAGCCGCGGUAAUACGGAGGGUGCGAGCGUUAAUCGGAAUUACUGGGCGUAAAGCGCGCGUAGGUGGCUUGAUAAGCCGGUUGUGAAAGCCCCGGGCUCAACCUGGGAACGGCAUCCGGAACUGUCAAGCUAGAGUGCAGGAGAGGAAGGUAGAAUUCCCGGUGUAGCGGUGAAAUGCGUAGAGAUCGGGAGGAAUACCAGUGGCGAAGGCGGCCUUCUGGACUGACACUGACACUGAGGUGCGAAAGCGUGGGUAGCAAACAGGAUUAGAUACCCGGGUAGUC